RNAcentral lists this unclassified non-coding RNA (4342 nucleotides) under Ooceraea biroi (clonal raider ant). RNAcentral's name for it is "uncharacterized LOC105274942, transcript variant X2". Lineage: Eukaryota; Metazoa; Arthropoda; Insecta; Hymenoptera; Formicidae. The record is from RNAcentral.
ACGCGGCCUGACCGCUACACACAGCCACGGGAGUUCCCUCCUGGCUUCCCGCACACCCGCGGUCGCCACCGUACCUCCUCCCUUGACUGCGACGUGCUCCCUCCCUGGCCUGCCCCGCAGCCAACAUGCAUUUCGCGACGUGCCGCCGCUACCAGCAUUCUUAGUGAGUUACGGACUGUAUGCAGGCGCGCAUCAGGCGGAUUGCUGGCUUCCAACUGCGUGUUUCAUUCCGCUCCGCUGUUUCUUGCCUCCUUGCCCUGUGGCCGUGCGUCUUCAGUACCGUCGGACCAUCGCUCGGCGCCUGCGCACGAUCCGACGUAUCUGGGAUGACCAGCGUCCGUGGGGCGCCGAUCACGCGAAAUACAUUGGAGCUUCGCGGCCCUGCGCUCACCUCGCCCGCUGACCGACCGACGGCUACCAACCGCUCACGGUGUACGCCGUAGUAGGAUCAGAUUGGCCGUUCAUCGAUCAUCGACCGCCGAGAUAGUAGAAGGUGGAUGGAGGAGAGCCGCGCGUUCGAAGCAGACGACGAUCCCACAAGCGGCGACAGCACGGUAUGACACGCGUCGCGUAGUAGGCGAAGCGCAGGCUGGACGUAGUGCGCGUGUGCAGUACAGUGCCCGCCGUUUUGCCGUUCGCGUUUUGUUGUGCUACCGUCCUUCGGGAUCUAUCACUGUGCGCUCGCACGUCGGUUUGCUCGUACGUUCGCCUCGCCGUGGCCGCGUAACGACCGCCGAACGACAAUUGCGACGACGACGAUAACGCAAGGCCGCGUAGUUUCUAGCAGGAAGGUUCUAGAAAGAAGAAGCGGAAAACGCAGAACGGCCUAUUUGGGAACCGAUAAGUAGACCGCAAAUCUCGAUUAGAGGAAGACGGAAGCCGGAAAGAAGGGAAAAAGAGGACGGGAGUGGGAAAGCGGGCGAGAAAGGUGGCAAAGAGGGGCGGUUGGGUACGUUUCCGGAGGUGGAGACUUCCUGCCGCGCUCGCCGCCGUCGUGCCCCGUGCACGAGAUCCGUAACGAAGUCGCGCGCAUCGCGGGCGCAAUAGUUGGCGCGCUCGCGCUCCGCCGUGCUUUUUUCGCGGGCGCGCACGUGUGACGCAGCUGCGCUCUGGUCAGCCGCGUGGCCGGGUCGCGCGAACGGAUUCCGCGCGCGGAAUCUCUCGAGCGAGCACGGUAGGCUGGAGAGCCGCGCCGGUGGAUCUCCCGUAAUUGCUGGAUACAGUGUGUUGCGCGCGUGUGACGGAAGUCGGGGCCGCAGGUACCUUCAAUUUAUCCCGGGCGAUCAUUACGGGGAUAGGGACCGAAGGGACCGAGGGAGCGGACGAGAGAAGGUCUACGGAAGGAGGAAGGUUAGAUAACGGGAUCGCAAAAGAUAUCCGGAUAGCGACAUGAGGGGUUUGUUUUACGGUUAACGUAACAGGCGCUCCUCGGCCACGUGGAAUAACGAUAUAAUCGCCGUGGCUUUAUCCGACCGGAAUCGGCCAUCUGGAUCGGUUUCUUCAACGUCGCCGAGAGAUCACGAGCAGCGAUCGUUUCUCACCGUCGUGAGGAGGAAACCCAAGCGAGAUUCGCGCUUCUUACUGGUCGAUAAAAGUAAAAGCCCCAUGAGCACCAUGAAUAAGGACGAGGACCACGGAUCCGAGGCGGGCAACUCGAACGCGUCCUCGAAUUCGCAGCCCAAGAAGCGGAGGCAGCCGUGCUGCAUGCGAUGUGACAACCACGGGCUGGUCAUUGGACUCAAGCAGCACAAGAGAUACUGCAAAUAUCAGUUCUGCAAGUGCCCGGCAUGUCAGCUUACCGUCGAGCGACAGAGGGUGCAAGCGAGACAGACGGCUCUGAAGAGAGCCAUCGAGAUGGACAGGUCCAAGAAAAUUCUCCCUGUAGAGACGAAGCCAAUGCCGUUAGACAUGGACAUCUACUUGCUGAACUUGAGUAAAAAGCAGAGAACCGUGAAGAAAUAUAAGAGACCGGAGCCUCUCCCCGGGGACUCCCGAGAAAUGUCCGUCGUUCGACGAUCGGUCGUCUCAUUAAGACCGCAAUGCGAGGGCUAUCCUGUUUCCUCUGAUGACUCUCUCGGCGCGUUCGAGACUCGCCGCUCAGAUAACAUCGUGUUAAAUAAUGAAUGCCGCGCCGAGAGAGGCCGCUCGCUCGCGUUGAAAUCACUUAAACGCAAAUCACUCGAUGCGAAGAAAAACAGGUGUACGACUAAAAGAGACAUUAACGUUUUAGCGAGGUACUGUUUGGAGCAAUUGCGCCAUUUGUCCUACGUCCAGCCGUUUUCUCUCGCCCACACUCUCCUUAGAAUUAUCGACGACUUUGAUGAGUGCUCAAAACAAGACAUAAACGAAGCUAUGAGCCGCAUAUCUUACGCUACGAUAAUUCAUCUCCCGAAAAUUACUCGUCAAACUACUGUCCGGGACAUGAUUGUAGUAUUCAUAAUUAUGCAUUCGACAGAUCGAUUUUUAUUUAUCUAUUUUCUGUUUCCACCUUGAAUUGUUUACGCAAUCGUGAAAUUUUCAUUGACAUCGAUCUGCUCUUUUCAAAGUACUGAAAAAUCUAUGAUUUUCGAUAACGGCAUAUAUUUAGUAACAAAAUUGCCGUAAAAGUAACGAUGAAAGCAACAACGAGAAACUGUUUUUAAUUACACCACGGUGAAGAUACAUGUUCUGUAAAUUUUGUAAUCGAGACUAAUACACAACACAACUGGAAGAUAUAUCGGACAUUCGUGGAUAUCGCAGCGGUCAAUUAUAGUUGGCACAAGUGGAUCGGGCGUGUUCGUUUUCCAUUCUCGAGAGCUCUGCUAAUGGAGUGAAUCGACUUGAAUUUCAUUAAAAUUCGGCAUAUAAAUAUUUGAGAACCCGAGAAUGCACUGUUAUCCGCGCACGAACGUCCGAAUAAAUGACGAUCACGCUCGAGAUGAUCGUGACACGCCAAGAUAAUUAUGGGGGAGAUAAGAGGUGGUGGUAAGGGAAGUAUCAAUGGGGCAUCUUGCGGUAUCCUCGUCUCGGAAGAAAACUUUUUGGUCCCAUCACGGAAGAUACCACCUCGCCGAAGAACGCGUAAACACGAGAACCUGUUUGGUAUCGCGCUGUGAGAUGCGCUUCAAGUAUGCAAGUAUCCCACGACGAGCGCGAGUCCUACAUACGCCCGACGUUUUUAUAAUUUCGCUGCCGACUUGUCUUCUCUCUCUCUCUCUCUCUCUCUCUCUCUCUCUCUCUCUCUCUCUCUCUCUCUUUCUCGCGGAGUGAUACGCUUCGCAGAAAAUUUCUCGUCUGCUUUCGCACGCACGCGAGUCCCAGCGAGGAUCAUGUACACCUGAAGAUCACAUCUUUCUGCACCGGAAAAUAUUGCAAAUGAGAUACUUGUGCUGCUCGCUCAAGUUGCCAACAAUUUUAUACAAUUCUACAAUCGGAAUUGUCAAGGAGCAACAGUGUCCAGAUCAUAUCGACAUUUGAAGAACGCCGUUUGUCGCUCACACUGCAUUUCACAACUGGUUUCCGCAUAUUUCACAAAAUUAUAUAAAUAAUACGCAGUGAAGCAAGUCUCAGUAGUGAGAUAAAUACAUUUCCGGGUAUCUUGCCCCGUGACGAAUGUGUAAAGCGACGUGGAGGUGUAAAGGUGCGACUGCACCUCGACGAUGGAACCUGCCGCUGAAGAAGGGUCAUGAAGAUCAAUGAAUUGCGAGAAUCCAGCUUGAGUGAUUCGUGUGGUUGGUGCACUUUAUGCGCGGCUAAAUCGGUACGAUCGUGCUCGUACGCUCUGACGUACAAAGUAACGUGCGUUACCGUAGCCACUUAUCGCUUAAAAUACUCUCCGUCGAGCGCGCGUGCACGCUCCAAGUGGGAGUCGUUACCGGAUAUUUCUGCAAUUAUAAUAUAAUGUAGCGGCGAUUACACGACGUCCCUGCUGCCGACUACUAAAUUCCGCCGCUGGAUACCGGCCAACCGAAAAUGAUUUUCGCCAUUGCGUCGCUGGUCUUUUCGGUCGUCACUCUCAAGGUCGCCGUUUGGAAUCAGCCGAUUCCAAGCGCGGAAGAUUUGCAAUCCCACACACGCAAAUGAUGAUUUUAAAAGCAUUCGGAAAGAAAACCGAUCAUUGAAUCAAUUCGCUUCAAGAUCGACGAACACCUCGAAGAUUCGAGUUUCGGUGGCAAAAAGGGCACCGAGAUCGAGCGAUAAAUGAAGUAGAUCCGGUCGUGGAUUAUCCCGAAGCGAGAGAAGCGGCCCAAGGCGUCGGAGAAAGUAAUCUCGGAAACGGUGAAGGAAUACUAUCUCCGGUACUACUACUACUACCCGAUACUGCCGCGCCCCCUAGAAACACCGACGUAUGAGGGGUUGUAUC